UUUUUUCUAUCAGAUGAGAAGGGAGAAUCAAGAAGAACAGGGGCCAAUAAUCAUGAAAUGUAGACAUUUGUUUAAGAUCUCCUUUUCCUAACAAGCAUUUCUGACUCCAAGCAUUUAUAUGGUACCUGAGGGAGCUAAAAUCAUGAGAGUUUUCAGCAGAAGCAUGAUUGUUUUUAUGAAUUUAUUGUCGAUUGAUUCGAUGUUCUUCAUCAGAUGGAUUACAUAUGUAAACAUGGUUCAUGCUUGUACAUUAGUAACAGGUGGAUGAGAAGUAGCUACUCAAAUUUUUAGUUUGUCUUUGUUGCCAUUCAUGUUAUUUGCAUUGAUAUAUCUUCCUGCCUUUCUGUGAACAUGCAGAGAUGGAUUUGCAGUUAAAAGAGGGAAUUGCCAUUCAUCUGUAUUAUGAAUCAUGGAAUCUUACAUGGUACCUAACUUAAAAGCUUUAUUGAAAUAUAGCUAUUAUGCUUUUACAAAUUGGAAAUGGCCUGCCUAGACAAAGUGGGAAUGACCCUUUCAUCAAGAAUCUCCAAUUUUUUUUUUACAAUCCACAGAGGGAGAUUCAAACCCGGUUCUUUGAAUUACACAAAAAUACAUACACUUACUAUCGAUCUCAGACCAAGAUCAGUGGGAGAUGCAUACACUUACCAUCAAUCCCAGAUCGGGAUCAAUGGUAUAGGUUUGAUUCGAAACCCCGAAACUCAUGCCGUUGAAGCUCGUUUCAUGGAAAGAAUGGUCAAGAAAUUCCGGUGGCUUUGCUUUGGCUUGUUCAUAGACAUCAUCUUCCUCCCAGGUUUCUUCUGAUGACUCCUAAGCACACAAACAUCUCCCUGGCAGAUAUAUCUUUUAGAUUCUGAGGAGGAUUCUGUGAAACAGCUGAAGAUGUUUGGGAGCAACGCCAUGGUAUAAUCGAUCAAUGCUCCCAAAAAAGACUGCAAUAUUGUUUAAAAGAUUGUUUCCAUGAAUUUCUCUACCUGCUUAUAACGGGUGGAUGGCCAUUGCAGUUGGGUUUUUAGGCAAUUAGUCAAUGUCGGCGGGCAAUGACCAUUUAAUUUUCAGUUCAAUAUAAGGCACACGUUUAUAUGGUUUAAACCAUUUAUUUUUUUCAAACAACAAAACGUGUUGGACCAAAUAUGUUAUUUUCUAGCAAUUAAUUCCUUUUUUUAUUAAUUUUUUGUGAUUAUUUCUUCUCUAUGGUCUUUGAUCUUAGAGUUUGGUUAAUUGAUGGGCCGGGUUUUGGAACGAGGUCGUUUUUUUUUAUUUAUAUGUAAUGUAUUGUCUGCGUAUAAUAUUUAUGUAUUAUCACUAAAUAAAAUAUUAUUGUUUAUUUUAAUGAUAAUAAUUCGUGUAUUUUUUAUUUUGUUCGAGAAAAUUUGGUAAACUCAUACUAAAAAAAAUAUUAACAAAAAAAAGAAUGGCACAUGGUAGACCAUGGUAUGUUUGAAUGGGAAAGAGGGUGUGGGCUAUUAUUUGACUCUUUUAUUUAAAUAAAAGAUUCAAAAUUAGUUUAAAGAAGGGGAAAAUAAUUAAAAAAAGGGAAAGAACACAAUUGAAUUUCUUUUUUUAUAUAUUUAUAUAUAAAUAUAACAUUAUAAUAAAUGCAAGUUGUAUUUAGUUUUUUUUUUAAUGAAAAAUCCAUGAAGAGAUAAGAUUACAAUUCAUCAUUCAUAAGAUCAAAACUCACUCUUUGUUUUUUCCAAAGAAAAUUUCCGUUUGGUUUUGACCAAUGCUAUGAGAAAUUACCUAGGAAGGCUGAAUGUACUUAAAAAAUGCUAUAAGUCAAGUAUGAUGGGAGUUUGUACUACACGUUUGAUUAAUUAAUAAAUUUUAUUUUCAAAAAAUAAAAAAAAAGCUACAAGUCAAGUAUGAGUUUAGAUUUCUUAUCAUAGAUAAACACCCAAAUUUUCACAAGCCCUUUUCUUUCAUUAUCACAAAAAUGUCCCAAAAAGCAUAGCAACAUAUACAUAGGUGGAAUUGAAGGUGGUGACAGGGAAUGGCGAUUGAUCGUCGUCUCUUAAUUUUUAUUUUUUUAUUAUUAUAUAUGAAAUUUAAUAUAUAUAAUAUAAUUAUUUUUAUAAUUAUGUUUUAUAUAAAAUUUUAAAUUUAUCAUGUGUUGGUACAUAUAUAUAUAUAUAUACUCGAACCAGCAAUGAA
Molecule: long non-coding RNA, 2151 nt
Filed under: Theobroma cacao (cacao)
Lineage: Eukaryota; Viridiplantae; Streptophyta; Magnoliopsida; Malvales; Malvaceae
Description: long non-coding RNA (TCAC_LNC004167)
Source: RNAcentral